This 476-nucleotide ribosomal RNA is filed under the name Enchytraeus coronatus. RNAcentral describes it as "partial 16S ribosomal RNA". It matches the Rfam family "Bacterial large subunit ribosomal RNA", at positions 1816 to 2596 of the family's 2925-position model. The record is from RNAcentral. Lineage: Eukaryota; Metazoa; Annelida; Clitellata; Enchytraeida; Enchytraeidae.
UGCUUUUUGAAUAUAAAUAAAAAGUAAUCUCCUGCCCAGUGAAUAUUUUCAACGGCCGCGGUAUCCUAACCGUGCAAAGGUAGCAUAAUCACUUGCCUAUUAAUUGUAGGCUAGAAUGAAUGGGGUAACGAAAUAAGACCUAUCUUAAUUAAAUAAAAUAAAAACUUAUAUCCAAGUGAAGAAGCUUAGAUAAAAUAAAAGGACAAGAAGACCCUAUAGAGCUUUAGUAAAAUAAUACUAUGUAUUAAUUUCACUUCGGUUGGGGCGACCCAGGAUAAUUCAUCCUGUAAAUAUAAGACACAUAUGUCUAUCAAUAUGAACCUAAAUAGAUCACAGAUCAAGCUACCUUAGGGAUAACAGGCUAAUCUCACCUUAGAGCUCAUAUCCAAGGUGAGGAUUGGCACCUCGAUGUUGGCUUAGAGAAUCAAAUUGGCGCAGCAGUCAAUAAGUGAGGGUUUGUUCAACCCAUAAUUCUC